RNAcentral lists this long non-coding RNA (2544 nucleotides) under Sus scrofa (pig). Its description in RNAcentral is "lncRNA (ENSSSCG00055025359.1)". The record is from RNAcentral. Lineage: Eukaryota; Metazoa; Chordata; Mammalia; Artiodactyla; Suidae.
CAUAUUAUCUUCCAUCAUGUUCUAACCCAAGAGACUGGACACAGUUCCCUCUGCUACACAGCAGGACCUUAUUGCUUAUCCAUUAUAAAUGUAAUAGUUUGCAUCUACCAACCCCAAACUCCCAGUCCAUUCCUGAGCACAGUUUUUAAUUCUCUUCUGAUGUUUAUUCCUAUUACCUGGCUCUCUAUUGAAAAGGUUUCCUAUAUUUUAAUAUUUUCUAGAAGUUACUGGAUUUAAUUCUUCCCUUGGUGACCAAAAACCCUCUACAUCUGUUGCUCUCCCCAACCCCCAACAAAAUGUCUUCUAGUUUUCUAAGAAUGAAUUUGAGCUGCUUCAUAAAAUUAUCAUUCAACACUACCAGGAACUGAGAAAUUGAGAGUAUUGAGCAUGAACUUUUCUACCAAAGAAAGGGCCAAAUACACUUAAAGGACAUCUAUGAACAGAGGGAGAGUUCUGUGUGCAUCCCUCAGUGUUCUGCUGCUCAUGGUCUACCCUCCUUCCAGGAGUCUAGCUUUUCUCUUGAAGGUCUUGCUUGUUCCAGCCUGACAGUGGACUGUAGGGCUGGUCUGUCCAUCAAUCUGCUAGUUCUCUUCACAGAAGACUUUUUCACAAUGGAGGAGUUCCCACUGUGGCUCAGCAGGUUAAGAACCUGACAUAGUGUCUGAGAGGAUGCAGGUUUGAAACCCAGACUCGAUCAGUGGGUUAAGGAUCCUGCAUUGCCACAAGCUGUGGUGUAGGUUGAAGAUACAGCUUAGAUCUGGUGUUGCAAUAGCUGUGGCACAGGCUUGUAGCUGCAACACUGAUUUGACACCUAGCCUGCUAACUUCCAUAUGCUGCAGGUAUGGCCAUAAAAAGAAAAAAAAUAAUUAAAUCAAAUUGAGAAUGGAGCUGAAACCCACCUGCCCAGUGAAGAAUUCAGAGUGCCUGUCUGAAGUUGGCGAUAGCAGAGCACAGAUGUCUACAGGCAUCUGGACAAAUUAUUUAUCCCAGCUCACCAUAAAUAUCUCCAUUGGAUUUAGGAAUAAAGUCGUUAGUUCCUGAGAAGAGUUUCCUGUAAAGGGCAAGCUAUGUUCACUGACACGUACUCAAUGGUUCCCCAGGGCGGAGCAGGAAUGGUUCCCUUAGGAAGCCACUGCAUCCAGGUUGAGCUCUCAGCAAACCAUUCCUGGUCUCUGGUCUAAUUAACCUACACACAUUGGGGUGUGUGUGUAUAAAACAGAGAUGCUGACAUGCUGGCAUUUAUGCUGCUGAUACAAAAUGUUCUGAGUGUUGUUGAUGUAAGCGGUGCUGACAUAAACCUUCUCCUUGAGAACAGCUGCUGGAGGUACUUUUCCAUUAUCUUCCUGUGGAUUAACUUGAAGCAUUCUCUGGGCUAAGAUGUACCCACUAUAGAGAUUCAAUCCCCUAACAUGAAAAAAUAACCUCUAGGCUGUUCAAUGACCUAUUUCUUUCAUGUGUUUACUCCUUAGAGCAUAGCUAUUUAAAGUUCAGUAUCAGAUGAAUAAUGCAGUACUGAUUGUCUUUAUACAAGAGGUUCAGUUUGCAGGGAUCUAAAAAUGACUAAAGUGUACUUGGUUUGGGGUGGAAAGUGGAGGCAUGAUUGUUAAUAUCAUAUAAAAUAAGUUAGGUCAUAUUACAGACUUCACAUAAACUACUUGAGUUCACUGACAAAUAGUUGCCACUGUUGAUAACUUUGUAGAUGAAGGUGAUGAAACCUGGAGUUCUUCAGGGAGAAUUGCACACAGACUCAACAUAAUACACACAUACUUAAAGGGUUUAGGACCUCCUAAAGUCACCUAAGCAGCCUAGGAACCUUCCUUGAUUGGUUCCAUUACAUGACCAGAGAUGACAUUUUCUACCUACAUUUGGGGUGCUUUAUCCCCAAUAAGGCUUUUAAAAGAUGACAUCUUCACCCACAUGUCUUCCUUUAACAUGGAUAAUCAAGGACUGUAUGGUUUUUUUUUGUUUUUUUGUCUUUUUGCUAUUUCUAGGGCGGCUCCCUCGGCAUAUGGAGGUUCCCAGGCUAGGGGUCGAAUCGGAGCUGUAGCCGUCGGCCUGCGCCAGAGCCACAGCAACGCGGGAUCCGAGCCGUGUCUGCCACCUACACCACAGCUCACGGUAAUGCCGGACCGUUAACCCACUGAGCAAGGCCAGGGAUCGAACCCGCAACCUCAUGGUUCCUAGUGGGAUUCGUUAACCACUGUGCCACGACGGGAACUCCCGGAUUGUGUGUUUUAACAGGAUCUUCUGGCUACUGGAUGUGUAUUAGUUGUAUUAAGUCAAGUCUUCCAAGAAGCUCAUGUCAAGGUGGGGUUAGACAUGCAAGAAUUCACUGGGAGGAAUGCGCAGGUAGGAGAAAGGAGAAGGGGACAGGAGUGGCAGGUGAGUCUUCACACCUGGAAGCAGAUAUCAUGCCUGUUAAAGCAGAGACAGGAGGAAGGCUUGGUAGGAAGAGUUUCAGAUGGCAGCUCUGUUCUAGAAAGUCUCACCAGGCCAACUGGAGUCCUGGAGUGAAGGUUGUGUGUUGGAGGAGGUCCAUGCCAA